RNAcentral lists this ribosomal RNA (546 nucleotides) under Triticum aestivum (bread wheat). RNAcentral describes it as "partial small subunit ribosomal RNA". Lineage: Eukaryota; Viridiplantae; Streptophyta; Magnoliopsida; Poales; Poaceae. The record is from RNAcentral.
AUGCAGUACUGGUCCUUGGAGGGGAUCGAGGAGAUCCUCGGGAAGAAGGUGUGUGUCGACCGCCUCGACAGCAGGACGCAGGAGCGCGGCCACACAAAGACCUUUGCCUGCUGGGUCUGGACCAACGACGUCGCCCACAUCCCCACCAAGCACACGCUCGGGGUCCUACCGCGCGGCGCGGGCCGCGUCGAGGAGAUGCAGGGCUACUCUCCGCCCGACCGGCGCGUCGCUCCUCCGCUAGGCACCGCGGACUACACCAUGCUCAUCCACAUCGACAUGGUUGAAGAUUGGACGCCUCCAUCACCGCGCUCCUCCCACUCCGCCCAGAGCGGGAUGCCGUCGUCCGACUCCGACACCGACGACCGGCCCCGCUUCACUGUGAUCCCCGCCUCUUGGACCAUGGAGGUCAAGCACGGCCAGCGUGGUGACCGCCCGCAGCGCCUUGGGCGCGCACCGGUGGCUGACCUGGGCUGCCGCGGAAUGCCACGCGGCGGGCGCGACCACGACGAUGCGGGUGAAGCUGGUGGCGGGGGGCGCCGCUCCUAG